This 497-nucleotide ribosomal RNA is filed under the name uncultured bacterium. RNAcentral describes it as "partial 16S ribosomal RNA". It matches the Rfam family "Bacterial small subunit ribosomal RNA", at positions 28 to 507 of the family's 1533-position model. The record is from RNAcentral.
GAUGAACGCUGGCGGCGUGCCUAAUACAUGCAAGUCGAGCGAACAGACGAGGAGCUUGCUCCUCUGACGUUAGCGGCGGACGGGUGAGUAACACGUGGAUAACCUACCUAUAAGACUGGGAUAACUUCGGGAAACCGGAGCUAAUACCGGAUAAUAUAUUGAACCGCAUGGUUCAAUAGUGAAAGACGGUUUUGCUGUCACUUAUAGAUGGAUCCGCGCCGCAUUAGCUAGUUGGUAAGGUAACGGCUUACCAAGGCGACGAUGCGUAGCCGACCUGAGAGGGUGAUCGGCCACACGGGAACUGAGACACGGUCCAGACUCCUACGGGAGGCAGCAGUAGGGAAUCUUCCGCAAUGGGGGAAAGCCUGACGGAGCAACGACGCGUGAGUGAUGAAGGUCUUCGGAUCGUAAAACUCUGUUAUUAGGGAAGAACAAAUGUGUAAGUAACUAUGCACGUCUUGACGGUACCUAAUCAGAAAGCCACGGCUAACUACGUG